Molecule: unclassified non-coding RNA, 357 nt
Filed under: Hevea brasiliensis (rubber tree)
Lineage: Eukaryota; Viridiplantae; Streptophyta; Magnoliopsida; Malpighiales; Euphorbiaceae
Source: RNAcentral
GAAGGGAGUCUUCAUCUGGCGUUUAGGCCUGCUCUGGCCUUCAUUAGAAUUACCAACGUUGUUGUUGUUAUUGUCGUUGCCGUCUGUAUUCUGAUAGUCCCCUUCAGAAUUCGCCUCCAUUGAAGCGAUCUCGAUCUCAGAAUCCAAAAAUCGAAAGAAUUAGGGUUACGAAAACACAAACAAAAAGAGAAAGACACUAGAGAGAGAGAGAGAGAAAGACGGGUAAAAAUAAAAUAAACGGUGAAAUUGCAAUUUGUUUGGCUUUCCACUUUCUAUUAAGAACUAAUUAUCGUGAUAGUCAAGGAAGAGAAAGAUCGAUUGAAUUAACAUUUUAAUUUAUUUUCUUUUUCUCGUUGU